RNAcentral lists this ribosomal RNA (253 nucleotides) under uncultured bacterium. RNAcentral's name for it is "partial 16S ribosomal RNA". It matches the Rfam family "Bacterial small subunit ribosomal RNA", at positions 524 to 776 of the family's 1533-position model. The record is from RNAcentral.
UACGUAGGGUGCAAGCGUUGUCCGGAAUUAUUGGGCGUAAAGAGCUCGUAGGCGGUCUGUCGCGUCUGCUGUGAAAUCUCAGGGCUUAACCCUGAGCUUGCAGUGGGUACGGGCAGACUAGAGUGCGGUAGGAGAGACUGGAAUUCCUGGUGUAGCGGUGAAAUGCGCAGAUAUCAGGAGGAACACCGGUGGCGAAGGCGGGUCUCUGGGCCGUAACUGACGCUGAGGAGCGAAAGCAUGGGGAGCGAACAGG